AAUUCUAUAAUAACAAAAAUGUUGGCAGGCCAAUAAAGUUUAAUGCACUAUUGACUACAUAUGAAGUAGUUCUGAAAGAUAAAGCUGUCCUUUCAAAGAUCAAGUGGUGCUAUCUGAUGGUUAAUGAAGCACACAGGUUAAAAAAUAGUGAAGCACAGUUGUAUACAACACUUUCGGUAGGUUAAUCAUGGCAAUUGAAUUUACAACUGCCCAUUUUAUCUUUCCUUUUCAAGUUUAGUUUGUUACCAUUUGCUAGUGCUGUGAUUGACAGGAAUUUAGCACCAAGAACAAGUUUUUGAUUACUGGUACUCCAUUACAGAACAGUGUGGAAGAGUUGUGGGCCCUGCUUCAUUUCCUUGAUCCAGAUAAGUUCAGGAGUAAAGAUGAUUUUGUUCAGAAUUACAAGAAUCUUGGCUCUUUUAAUGAGAAUGAGCUUGCUAAUCUUCAUACGGAAUUAAGACCUCACAUUCUCCGAAGAGUUAUUAAGGAUGUAGAGAAAUCUUUGCCUCCAAAAAUUGAGCGAAUUCUUAGGGUUGACAUGUCUCCACUUCAGAA
Long non-coding RNA from Humulus lupulus (European hop), 555 nucleotides. RefSeq lists it as uncharacterized. NCBI's taxonomy places the organism in Eukaryota, Viridiplantae, Streptophyta, Magnoliopsida, Rosales, Cannabaceae. The record is from RefSeq and is a predicted model, not a curated record. The transcript is spliced from 3 exons.